Molecule: ribosomal RNA, 612 nt
Filed under: Triticum aestivum (bread wheat)
Lineage: Eukaryota; Viridiplantae; Streptophyta; Magnoliopsida; Poales; Poaceae
Description: partial small subunit ribosomal RNA
Source: RNAcentral
AUGAAACCCAAUAAAGCACCAGGUCCAGAUAAUAUCCCCAUCGAAUUCUUCCAACACUGUUGGGAGGUAGUUAAGGGUGAAGUGAUGUUAUUAUUUGACUGGUUCCAUGAUAAUAAACUUGAUGUGCAACGUUUGAAUUAUGGGAUUUUAACUCUGUUGCCUAAGAUUGUUGGAGCAAAUAAAAUACAACAGUUUCGCCCCAUAUGCUUGCUUCGGUGCAUCUAUAAACUGAUUACUAAAGUGCUUACUAUUAGACUAGAACCUUUUGUUGAUACACUUUUCAGUAGACAUCAGAAUGCUUUUAUUAAAAAGCAAGACAUCAUGGAUGGGAUCAUGUCUCUACAUGAAAUCCUCCAUCACACUUACAGUAGGAAGAAACCUGGGAUUGUGUUGAAGCUAGAUUUUGAAAAGGCAUAUGACAAAUUUAACUGGGAUUUCCUGCUAGAUUGCCACAAAAUGAGAGAAUUUCAUCCGCAAUGGAAUGAAUGGGUCAGAAAAAUCCUAGUGGGAGGUAUGGUUAGUGUGAAGCUGAAUGAUGAGGUGGGUCCUUACUUUCAAAGCUCGAAAGGGGUGCGCAAGGGGACCUAUUCUCGCCUUUUCUCGUUAAUUUAG